AGACAAAAAAAAGCUCGGGACCAAUCCGAAUUGUCCCGAGCAUAGGGGAAUGGCUCAAAGGGAUUGAGCCGUGCGCUAACUCAUCUCGCUAAACGCCUAAAAAUUAAGCGUUGUUAAUUGCGGUAUUUUUAAGCAUAGUCAAAAAUUGAACAAUUGCUAAAAU
Molecule: small RNA, 163 nt
Filed under: Pseudidiomarina planktonica
Lineage: Bacteria; Pseudomonadati; Pseudomonadota; Gammaproteobacteria; Alteromonadales; Idiomarinaceae
Source: RNAcentral